Molecule: long non-coding RNA, 3183 nt
Filed under: Panax ginseng (ginseng)
Lineage: Eukaryota; Viridiplantae; Streptophyta; Magnoliopsida; Apiales; Araliaceae
Description: long non-coding RNA (PGIN_LNC016958)
Source: RNAcentral
GCAUCAUUAAUGAAGAGCUAAAAUAUGUUUUGCAGAGCAACAAAGAAAAAAUAAACCUACAGGUUCAGGGAUAAAAAAUCAAGCUUCAUGCAUACAUGAUAUUCCUAGUAAAAUUUGGGAAGAUAAAUAUUUAACAUGAUUCUGACCACUUGUUGGAGUUCUUUUUCUUGAAAAGCUUCUUCUCCUUCAUCAGGAAACUUGUUCAAAUCAAAUUCGUCGGGUAGCUGGUUCAAAUCAAAUCUGUGAUGAAGGAGAAAUCUGGUGCACCUUUCUUCUUUUUUGGAGAAUCCAAAUCCAUAGUCUUCAUCUUCGGCCAUUUUUUCUUUUCAGAGAUAUGUAAAAGCAUUUGCAAUAUCAGAUAUAUAUUGAUUACCACUGUUAUGAAUAUGUAUUGGGAAGGAAAGGAAUAUGAAAGGGUAGCCUACAACUAAUCUAAUGCAUUGAAAAAACUAAUUAUUGUGUGCAUUAAUUACACUCUUAUUAGAAAAGAGGGAUAAAGGUAAAUUUGGAAAAAAAAAAUAUUUUGAAAUAACUCAAAGGGUGUAAAACGUCAGUUAAUAUGGAAUGGAGGGAGUAUUUUUUUUCAUUCAAUAAAAUUAAGUCAUUACUUUUCUGUCUUGAUUCUUGGAAUCCAAACAUAGCAGAAUAUUGGAACUUAGGGAGUAUCAUAUCUUCUUGAUGUUGGUUGCCAUGGAGUAUUAUAAUAGAUAGAUUUAGGGACAGAAUUUUGUGCAGUGUAGAGUAGCAAUCUCUCUCUUUUUGCUACACUAUUAAUUAUUGAUAAAAACUGGACUUCAAUUCUCUCUCUGUACCCAAGUUAAGAAUAGCUCACAAGGCUUGUACUAGUUAGUUGUCCAUUGGAGUAUUAUUUUUCCAUAAUCUAUAAGAAUUUCCAACUUAUCAUGAUACAUAUCCCACUAAACAUCAAUCUCUAGAAGAAACUUCAAUUACAAAUUGAGAGACUUUAGCUCCAUGUUAGAAGCAGUGUCUCUUUAAAACUUGAGUCAACGUAGAAUUUUGAAUUUUUCACUGUACAUAUCUUUUCUUUUGAGUCUUGAUUAGACAAGCCCGAGAUGUUGAUUCACAAGUUGCCUAUAAUAUGAUGUUCUGCGCAGGAAUAUAAAAAUUUUGUACCACCUAGUACCUGCGUGUCCCAAUUUUAUGGACUCCUGUCCUUAAUCAAGAUGGGCGUAAAUGAAUGGAGUUGAGCCGAGUAUUGAGUUGUUCAUUCCAAGCACCUAUUGCAAUAAAAAGGAGAUUUACAUAACUAUGAUCAAACAUUUUAAGGGGAUGUUUAUAUAAUCCACAAUUAGCAAAGUUUUGUGGAUUUUACGUGUUCACAUAAAUCAGGCAUUAAUCAACAAAAAAUUGGAAAUGCGUAAUGCACAGAAUGACCUAUGAUCAAAGUGAACCAGCAAUAUGGUACUUCAAACCUGCUUAACUCAGCAAUUUACAGCCCAAUAAAAUGAUCUGUAUUUCCAGCUAGGGGAUAAUCCAUUAAGCUAGCAUUGCAAGCUAGCAUACUGCAAUGGUAAAGUUCUUAGAAAAGGGAAGUAGAGAGUUGAGAUUCUUAUUUUCAGGCAAAUAUCAUUAAUUGGUGAUUGAAGAUCAUUAUACUCCUUAACACCAUAUAUAACACCCUCGGCAAGUUUUAGCAAUGAUGCCAAAAGACUGUCAACUAGCUCUUUAAUUUGGCUCUUUCCUUUCUUCGUUAGACCUGUAAACUUCUUGUUUAUAAAUAUAUAAGGCUUCAACAUCUUAAUUUCAAGACAUUUAAUUAAUGGACUAAUUAAUCCUGCAUGCAGGGUAUUAUGACAAUGUUAACUUUUUUUUUAAAGUGAUAAUAUCAAUUUAGAACUUUGAAUCUAGAAAUGAUGUUGAACCUCCAUCCCAAGGAAGUAGUAAUAUAGAGCAAAUUAGCUUUGCUUAGAAAUCAUCAACAAUCAUUUUAAAUUCUUUUGACACCAUAUACUGCCCGAAAUAAAUGCUAAAAAAGUUUAGUUUGUACUCUAGACCCAAUCAUUUUACAGAAAAGACAACCAAGAAAAAAAUUACUCUAUACUUUCUUAAGACAGAUAGAAAGUCGUUUAAGACAAAUACAUAUACAGGCUGAAAAGUUAUAUGUGACUAAGGCGUGGAGCAGAAUUUCUUUAAUUCAUGAGUGGAUGCUUUAAUAGGCGGCUGGCUACUAUGCUAUUUAAAUGAGGAUGGAGAAUGUGAUCCAUGGAUGUUCAGAAGGUUUUGAUUUGAGAGUAAAUUAAUUAAUGGUCUCUUGGAUGGAGAAUUUCAGAAGGUUGUGAUCCAUGGAGAAUUUCUUUAAUCAGCUAGUGCAGCCUUACUAGCCAUGUCAACGAUCUCCUCCAUAUCUGCAUAAUACUUGCGAUUGUUCCCUUUCUCCUCUUAUUCAACAAAUACCUAGCUUAUAAUUAAUUAGUAUAGGCAUGCAUGGCCCAACCAUGUUUAUCAAAAAUUAAGGCUUAGACUUUAUUAAUGGAGAUUUGGCUUUCCUCAAAGCUAAGUGAAUUAUUGGAGGUCUUCCAGCCUCCUUUCAUUUGCAUAAAUUGUUAGUUUGAAAUGAUAAAUUGUUAGUUUGAUAGUGUUGUAACUUGUACGUGAUGAAAUUAUGAUGAUAACUUUUAUACUACUAUCAAUACAAAAAAGAGGACUCUUUCUUAGAACAAUAAAAUUAAUUUUGUGGCUUAUUUGAACUACCUAUUAUUAUGUCCAGCAAAAGUUAGUACGUACGUGUUAGGAAAAUCAGCAACAGAAUAGGCCAGUUGUGGUAUUCAAAAGUAAACCCAUGAAUCAACUCAGCACACAUAUAUUGACACAACUCAGAAGCUUCAUGACACUGCUGUAACUGUUCGGGAACGACUUAUUUAAAAAUACUUAUAAGUUCAAAUUUAAAAUCACUUAUUAAGUUGCGAUUUAUAAAGAUCGAUAUAUUAAUUAUAGGAUAAAUAAAUCAUAAAUGCAUGGGUGAUCCAAUUUCGUACUAAACCUUAACCUACAAACAUUAGUACUAAUUUAUGUCAAGUAGUUAACAGUAAAUUAAAGAAACCAACCCAUAUUCAAGAUGAACAAAUUAAAAAAAAAAAUACCAACUUAUUAAACUUCGCCGGAAUUGAAGAAAUGAUUUGCAAUUCUUAAGUUCAACUGUGCUGUGCGUGAGAGACGGAGUAC